RNAcentral lists this ribosomal RNA (227 nucleotides) under Salmonella enterica subsp. enterica serovar Anatum. Its description in RNAcentral is "partial 23S ribosomal RNA". It matches the Rfam family "Bacterial large subunit ribosomal RNA", at positions 1393 to 1623 of the family's 2925-position model. The record is from RNAcentral. Lineage: Bacteria; Pseudomonadati; Pseudomonadota; Gammaproteobacteria; Enterobacterales; Enterobacteriaceae.
AAGGCGAGGCCGAAAGGCGUAGUCGAUGGGAAACAGGUUAAUAUUCCUGUACUUGGUGUUACUGCGAAGGGGGGACGGAGAAGGCUAUGUUGGCCGGGCGACGGUUGUCCCGGUUUAAGCGUGUAGGCUGGUUUUCCAGGCAAAUCCGGAAAAUCAAGGCUGAGGCGUGAUGACGAGGCACUACGGUGCUGAAGCAACAAAUGCCCUGCUUCCAGGAAAAGCCUCUA